AUUCUGUGGAUUAGAGGCUGAACUGGAGUAGGUAUUUGUGGAGUGGGUACCCUGUGUUGGUCACUUUGCUAGAUGCUAGGGCUAUAGCCACAAACAGCAAUUCUAACAUUGUCCUGACUUCAUAGAGAGGGACAUCUCAUCAUACAAGUAUUUCUAUGAAGUAUGAGGAUGGGGUGUCACAGAGGCCUCCACAAGGGCACUCUGCACAUGUAACAAAUGAUUUACAUGGAAACACGAAACCUAGGUAUUUGCUCCCAGUGAUAAUGAAAUCUCCCGUGGGUCUGCUCUAAAGGUGUGGACUGAGUCACCCCCUCUUCUGUCACAACACUUGCCUUUGGAGGCUCCUGGAAGGAAAGCAAUGUACAAAUGUUUGUUAACCUAUGUGCUGAUUAGAGGAUGUUUGCCAGCGGUCACCUGGAGCAGCCCUUCAGUGCUGCUGAGUUCACCAAGAGGCUUCUAGAGUCAAGUGCUUUAGUCCAGUCCAGGUGGAGAACAUUGUACUUUGAGGCUAUACUGCAGAAGAGGUAACACAUUGACCUAGCAAUUGAAGGACAUGGAUUCUUUUUCUGGUUCUGCAACUCUGAAUUUGAGCAAGAUUUUAUCUUCUCCAGAUCUCAGAUUUCUCAUUGGGAGAGGAGCGAAGCUGUGCCUGGUUAUCCAUAUGAUCCCUGCCAUCACUGAUCUCCAGGAAUUCUGUACCUCAUAUGCUGAAACCAGCUUUAUGGAAUAAGAAUGUCCUGAGCAGUGGUCAUGGCACCAACCCCCCUUGGAUAGUUGGUUUUACUUGAACCCAGCUAAGCUUAAUUUCCUGGCUCCAUUAAUAUUUACCCCUGUGCUGGCCAGAGAACAUCAGGGUGGAGAAGUUUCAGUAUAAACAAGUAAGAAAAUGUUCUCGGAAACUAAUGAUCUUAUCUGGUCAGAAUGAAUGAAGAAGGUUUAGUGUUCAUCUCUUCAUCGGCAUUAUUGACAGCAUUUAUGCCACAGAGAGAAACAAACACCAGUCACUUUAAUUGAUUUCCAUGGAGGCCACAACACUCUUCCCAUUUGGAUUCACUAAGGUUGGGCAAUCCCACACCCAGCUCACAUUCAACACUUUCUCUCCUUACCCGUCACCCCAACUCUGUUCACUCCCCCAUAUCAUGUACAUAUGUGUCCAUUUCUCUAACCAUCCCAUCACAAUGUGAUCCUCUCAGAGGACAAGGGCCAUAGUUUGUUCUUUACCUAAUCUUUCUGUUGUGCACCCAUCAAGUCUGGGGGAGACAAAUAAAGAACAACUGUAAUGCCUUUGAAUCUUAAUUCUCCACCAGAGUUUUUCCUGCAAGUUCAAUUGCCUGUGGAGUCCCCAUCAUCCCCAAACAUGUCCCUUGAGUCCCUGGCCUGAGGGGCUGAUAGUUCUCCUCUGUAGCUCUUCACUGCUACCACUGGUGGAAGACAGAUCCACAGAGCUCACUGCUGCUAGCAGCAGGAGACCAGGGCCCUGCUCCUUUUGGCUUCAUUGCUCACCAUGUGGACUCUCUCAAAGUUUUUACUCCUGCCUCUAAUCACAGAAGGGGAAACUUCUCUCUUCAUCAGUGUUAACAAUUCCCUUGAGACUCCUCCCACCUCCCAAGGGAAUCUGAUGCUCUCCAUUUACGUCUGUGUCUGCAGGUGAGCAAAGCAUUCCCAAAGCUAGACGAGAGGACAUUGACUGAUACCACGCAAUGUCUUAUUCCCACCAACCGUGAAUGGAUGUCCAAGGUCAGGAUGGAUAGGAAUAAUUCAAGAUCAUGUAGGGGCACCUGGUGGCUCAAUCAGUUGAGCUUCUGACUUCGGC
Felis catus (domestic cat) is the source of this 1813-nucleotide long non-coding RNA. RefSeq lists it as uncharacterized. Lineage: Eukaryota; Metazoa; Chordata; Mammalia; Carnivora; Felidae. The transcript is spliced from 4 exons. The record is from RefSeq and is a predicted model, not a curated record.